Molecule: ribosomal RNA, 253 nt
Filed under: uncultured bacterium
Lineage: Bacteria
Description: partial 16S ribosomal RNA
Rfam family: Bacterial small subunit ribosomal RNA
Source: RNAcentral
UACGUAGGGUGCGAGCGUUGUCCGGAAUUAUUGGGCGUAAAGAGCUCGUAGGCGGUCUGUCGCGUCUGCUGUGAAAUCCCGAGGCUCAACCUCGGGCUUGCAGUGGGUACGGGCAGGCUAGAGUGCGGUAGGGGAGAAUGGGACUCCUGGUGUAGCGGUGGAAUGCGCAGAUAUCAGGAAGAACACCGAUGGCGAAGGCAGUUCUCUGGGCCGUAACUGACGCUGAGGAGCGAAAGCGUGGGGAGCGAACAGG